GACGAACGCUGGCGGCGUGCUUAACACAUGCAAGUCGAACGGAAAGGCCCUGCUUUUGUGGGGUGCUCGAGUGGCGAACGGGUGAGUAACACGUGAGUAACCUGCCCUUGACUUUGGGAUAACUUCAGGAAACUGGGGCUAAUACCGGAUAGGAGCUCCUGCUGCAUGGUGGGGGUUGGAAAGUUUCGGCGGUUGGGGAUGGACUCGCGGCUUAUCAGCUUGUUGGUGGGGUAGUGGCUUACCAAGGCUUUGACGGGUAGCCGGCCUGAGAGGGUGACCGGCCACAUUGGGACUGAGAUACGGCCCAGACUCCUACGGGAGGCAGCAGUGGGGAAUAUUGCACAAUGGGCGGAAGCCUGAUGCAGCAACGCCGCGUGCGGGAUGACGGCCUUCGGGUUGUAAACCGCUUUCGCCUGUGACGAAGCGUGAGUGACGGUAAUGGGUAAAGAAGCACCGGCUAACUACGUGCCAGCAGCCGCGGUGAUACGUAGGGUGCGAGCGUUGUCCGGAUUUAUUGGGCGUAAAGGGCUCGUAGGUGGUUGAUCGCGUCGGAAGUGUAAUCUUGGGGCUUAACCCUGAGCGUGCUUUCGAUACGGGUUGACUUGAGGAAGGUAGGGGAGAAUGGAAUUCCUGGUGGAGCGGUGGAAUGCGCAGAUAUCAGGAGGAACACCAGUGGCGAAGGCGGUUCUCUGGGCCUUUCCUGACGCUGAGGAGCGAAAGCGUGGGGAGCGAACAGGCUUAGAUACCCUGGUAGUCCACGCUGUAAACGGUGGGUACUAGGUGUGGGGUCCAUUCCACGGGUUCCGUGCCGUAGCUAACGCUUUAAGUACCCCGCCUGGGGAGUACGGCCGCAAGGCUAAAACUCAAAGGAAUUGACGGGGCCCCGCACAAGCGGCGGAGCAUGCGGAUUAAUUCGAUGCAACGCGUAGAACCUUACCUGGGUUUGACAUGGAUCGGGAGCGCUCAGAGAUGGGUGUGCCUCUUUUGGGGUCGGUUCACAGGUGGUGCAUGGCUGUCGUCAGCUCGUGUCGUGAGAUGUUGGGUUAAGUCCCGCAACGAGCGCAACCCUUGUUCACUGUUGCCAGCACGUUAUGGUGGGGACUCAGUGGAGACCGCCGGGGUCAACUCGGAGGAAGGUGGGGAUGACGUCAAGUCAUCAUGCCCCUUAUGUCCAGGGCUUCACGCAUGCUACAAUGGCUGGUACAGAGAGUGGCGAGCCUGUGAGGGUGAGCGAAUCUCGGAAAGCCGGUCUCAGUUCGGAUUGGGGUCUGCAACUCGAUCUCAUGAAGUCGGAGUCGCUAGUAAUCGCAGAUCAGCAACGCUGCGGUGAAUACGUUCCCGGGGCU
RNAcentral lists this ribosomal RNA (1346 nucleotides) under uncultured bacterium. Its description in RNAcentral is "bacterial SSU rRNA". It matches the Rfam family "Bacterial small subunit ribosomal RNA", at positions 28 to 1381 of the family's 1533-position model. The record is from RNAcentral.